RNAcentral lists this long non-coding RNA (495 nucleotides) under Setaria viridis. RNAcentral describes it as "long non-coding RNA (SVIR_LNC004251)". The record is from RNAcentral. Lineage: Eukaryota; Viridiplantae; Streptophyta; Magnoliopsida; Poales; Poaceae.
CAGGUUUUGCAUGGACAAGCCAUCAUCUUUGUCUUCUUGACCACUGCAUUAUUCUCUAAAACUUUCAUGAAUUUGUUAAGUUCUCCACGGAAAUAAGCGUCCAUUCUUCGUGCUUGGCACAUCCAUGUCCUAUCCAUCUAUCUUAAUAGCAAAAAAAUUACACAAAAUCAAAAUUUCAUCCAUGUCAACUUGUUUUAUCCUAAUAAAAACAAUAUAUAUAUAAUUACACACAUGUACUAUUUCGUAAUGAAAAUAUCAUCCAUGUCAACUUGAUUAAAACUAUCAUAAAUGUUAAACAAACAAGUACUAAAUAUAUAAUUACACAUGUAGUAUUUCCUAAUAAAUAAAUGAAAAUAUAGAAAUCUUGGAAAAAAAUGAAAAACAAUUAGUCAUCAUCCAUGUCAACUUGUUUUAUCCCACAAAAUCUCGGAAAAAAUGAAAAUUAUAUCAUGCAUGUGUCAAUAUAGAAAAAAUCACAUCUUCUUCUCUCUCCUC